Pogona vitticeps (central bearded dragon) is the source of this 254-nucleotide long non-coding RNA. RefSeq lists it as uncharacterized. NCBI's taxonomy places the organism in Eukaryota, Metazoa, Chordata, Lepidosauria, Squamata, Agamidae. The record is from RefSeq and is a predicted model, not a curated record.
UAAGGGACGUGAAGACUUCCGGACAUCAGCAGUGUUUUCCAAUUGCACAAGCGCUGUGGUAUCAACUAAUAAAGUGCUGGAGGGCACUUUAUGCAACAAGAACUGUUUAACUGUAGAAGAAAACAGCCUUGGGCAUAAGCAGAGGUUUCUGAAAAGUGGCGCCUUUUGGGAGGAAAGGAGAAGCAGCCAAAUGGAAUCCCACUGUUAACUGACUACAGCAAAGAAACCACCACCCUGACAUCACAAUGGAUGGC